AGUGAACGCUGGCGGUAGGCCUAACACAUGCAAGUCGAACGGCAGCACAGUAAGAGCUUGCUCUUACGGGUGGCGAGUGGCGGACGGGUGAGGAAUACAUCGGAAUCUACUUUUUCGUGGGGGAUAACGUAGGGAAACUUACGCUAAUACCGCAUACGACCUACGGGUGAAAGCAGGGGAUCUUCGGACCUUGCGCGAUUGAAUGAGCCGAUGUCGGAUUAGCUAGUUGGCGGGGUAAAGGCCCACCAAGGCGACGAUCCGUAGCUGGUCUGAGAGGAUGAUCAGCCACACUGGAACUGAGACACGGUCCAGACUCCUACGGGAGGCAGCAGUGGGGAAUAUUGGACAAUGGGCGAAAGCCUGACCGAGCAACGCCGCGUGGGUGAAGAAGGCCUUCGGAUUGUAAAGCCCUUUUGUUGGGAAAGAAAAGAAGCAGGUUAAACCCCCGCUGUUCUGACGGUACCCAAAGAAUAAGCACCGGCUAACUUCGUG
Molecule: ribosomal RNA, 492 nt
Filed under: uncultured bacterium
Lineage: Bacteria
Description: partial 16S ribosomal RNA
Rfam family: Bacterial small subunit ribosomal RNA
Source: RNAcentral